Molecule: ribosomal RNA, 253 nt
Filed under: uncultured bacterium
Lineage: Bacteria
Description: partial 16S ribosomal RNA
Rfam family: Bacterial small subunit ribosomal RNA
Source: RNAcentral
UACGUAGGGAGCAAGCGUUGUCCGGAAUCAUUGGGCGUAAAGCGCGCGUAGGCGGCCCUGUAAGUCCGUUGUGAAAGUCAAAGGCUCAACCUUUGAAAGCCGAUGGAUACUGCAGGGCUAGAGUCCGGAAGAGGCGAGUGGAAUUCCUGGUGUAGCGGUGAAAUGCGCAGAUAUCAGGAGGAACACCUAUUGCGAAGGCAGCUCGCUGGGACGUAACUGACGCUGAGACGCGAAAGCGUGGGGAGCAAACAGG